GAUGAAGAACGUAGCGAAAUGCGAUAAGUAAUGCGAAUUGCAGAAUUCAGUGAGUCAUCGAAUCUUUGAACGCACAUUGCGCCCUGUGGUAUUCCGCAGGGCAUGCCUGUCCGAGCGUCAUUUGCAACCCUCAAGCCCGGCUUGUGUGAUGGGUGCCGUCCCCUACGGGACGCGCCCCGAAGGCAAUGGCGGCGUCGCGGUUAUCCGAUCAGCCAAAGUGUAUGGGGCUUUGUCACUCACUUUACGGCCCGGACCGGCGCCAGUCCGAAUCAAUCUUUUUUCUAAAGUUGACCUCGGAUCAGGUAGGGAUACCCGCUGAACUUAAGCAUAUCAAUAAGCGGAGGA
Molecule: unclassified non-coding RNA, 345 nt
Filed under: soil metagenome
Description: partial contains 5.8S ribosomal RNA, internal transcribed spacer 2, and large subunit ribosomal RNA
Rfam family: 5.8S ribosomal RNA (bases 1-120)
Source: RNAcentral